UAAUACCGGAUGGCAUACGAAUAUCGCAUGAUAUUUUUAUUAAAGAAUUUCGGUUAUCGAUGGGGAUGCGUUCCAUUAGUUUGUUGGCGGGGUAACGGCCAACCAAGACUACGAUGGAUAGGGGUUCUGAGAGGAAGGUCCCCCACAUUGGAACUGAGACACGGUCCAAACUCCUACGGGAGGCAGCAGUGAGGAAUAUUGGUCAAUGGGCGAGAGCCUGAACCAGCCAAGUAGCGUGAAGGAUGAAGGCCCUAUGGGUUGUAAACUUCUUUUAUAUGGGAAUAAAGUUUUCCACGUGUGGAAUUUUGUAUGUACCAUAUGAAUAAGGAUCGGCUAACUCCGUGCCAGCAGCCGCGGUAAUACGGAGGAUCCGAGCGUUAUCCGGAUUUAUUGGGUUUAAAGGGAGCGUAGGUGGAUUGUUAAGUCAGUUGUGAAAGUUUGCGGCUCAACCGUAAAAUUGCAGUUGAAACUGGCAGUCUUGAGUACAGUAGAGGUGGGCGGAAUUCGUGGUGUAGCGGUGAAAUGCUUAGAUAUCACGAAGAACUCCGAUUGCGAAGGCAGCUCACUAGACUGUUACUGACACUGAUGCUCGAAAGUGUGGGUAUCAAACAGGAUUAGAUACCCUGGUAGUCCACACAGUAA
RNAcentral lists this ribosomal RNA (642 nucleotides) under uncultured bacterium. Its description in RNAcentral is "bacterial SSU rRNA". It matches the Rfam family "Bacterial small subunit ribosomal RNA", at positions 164 to 805 of the family's 1533-position model. The record is from RNAcentral.